Molecule: ribosomal RNA, 425 nt
Filed under: uncultured bacterium
Lineage: Bacteria
Description: partial 16S ribosomal RNA
Rfam family: Bacterial small subunit ribosomal RNA
Source: RNAcentral
GUGGGGAAUCUUGCGCAAUGGGCGAAAGCCUGACGCAGCCAUGCCGCGUGAAUGAUGAAGGUCUUAGGAUUGUAAAAUUCUUUCACCGGGGACGAUAAUGACGGUACCCGGAGAAGAAGCCCCGGCUAACUUCGUGCCAGCAGCCGCGGUAAUACGAAGGGGGCUAGCGUUGCUCGGAAUUACUGGGCGUAAAGGGCGCGUAGGCGGACAGUUUAGUCAGAGGUGAAAGCCCAGGGCUCAACCUUGGAAUUGCCCUUGAUACUGGCUGUCUUGAGUACGGGAGAGGUGAGUGGAACUCCGAGUGUAGAGGUGAAAUUCGUAGAUAUUCGGAAGAACACCAGUGGCGAAGGCGACUCACUGGCCCGUUACUGACGCUGAGGCGCGAAAGCGUGGGGAGCAAACAGGAUUAGAUACCCGAGUAGUCC